RNAcentral lists this non-coding RNA (46 nucleotides) under Trichobilharzia regenti. Lineage: Eukaryota; Metazoa; Platyhelminthes; Trematoda; Strigeidida; Schistosomatidae. The record is from RNAcentral.
GUACUGAUGAAGAGUCCCAAACUAGGAUGAAACAGCUGUGCAGUAC